GAUCUUGGUUCAGGAUGAACGCUAGCUACAGGCUUAACACAUGCAAGUCGAGGGGCAGCAUUGGAGUAGCAAUACUUCAGAUGGCGACCGGCGCACGGGUGAGUAACACGUAUCCAACCUGCCGCUUACUCGGGGAUAGCCUUUCGAAAGAAAGAUUAAUACCCGAUGGUAUAAAGAGUUCGCAUGUUCUCUUUAUUAAAGAAUUUCGGUAAGCGAUGGGGAUGCGUUCCAUUAGAUAGUUGGCGGGGUAACGGCCCACCAAGUCUACGAUGGAUAGGGGUUCUGAGAGGAAGGUCCCCCACAUUGGAACUGAGACACGGUCCAAACUCCUACGGGAGGCAGCAGUGAGGAAUAUUGGUCAAUGGACGAGAGUCUGAACCAGCCAAAGUAGCGUGAAGGAUGACUGCCCUAUGGGUUGUAAACUUCUUUUAUAAGGGAAUAAAGUGAGGGACGUGUCCCUUUUUGUAUGUACCUUAUGAAUAAGGAUCGGCUAACUCCGUGCCAGCCGCCGC
This 512-nucleotide ribosomal RNA is filed under the name uncultured bacterium. RNAcentral describes it as "bacterial SSU rRNA". It matches the Rfam family "Bacterial small subunit ribosomal RNA", at positions 15 to 518 of the family's 1533-position model. The record is from RNAcentral.